AUACUUAGCUGGCGGGGAAGAUACCAUGAUCACGAAGGUGCUUUUCCCAGGGUGAGGCUUACCCGUUGCACUCUGGAUGUGCUGACCCUGCAGUUUCCCCAAAUGUGGGAAACCCGACUGCAUAAUUUAUAGUGGUGGGGGACUGCAUUCACGCUCUCCCCUG
RNAcentral lists this small nuclear RNA (163 nucleotides) under Carlito syrichta (Philippine tarsier). Its description in RNAcentral is "U1 spliceosomal RNA (ENSTSYG00000034338.1)". It matches the Rfam family "U1 spliceosomal RNA". From Rfam's summary of the family: U1 is a small nuclear RNA (snRNA) component of the spliceosome (involved in pre-mRNA splicing). Its 5' end forms complementary base pairs with the 5' splice junction, thus defining the 5' donor site of an intron. The record is from Rfam by way of RNAcentral. Lineage: Eukaryota; Metazoa; Chordata; Mammalia; Primates; Tarsiidae.